Molecule: ribosomal RNA, 464 nt
Filed under: Vreelandella stevensii
Lineage: Bacteria; Pseudomonadati; Pseudomonadota; Gammaproteobacteria; Oceanospirillales; Halomonadaceae
Description: partial 16S ribosomal RNA
Rfam family: Bacterial small subunit ribosomal RNA
Source: RNAcentral
CCUACGGGGGCAGCAGUGGGGAAUAUUGGACAAUGGGCGAAAGCCUGAUCCAGCCAUGCCGCGUGUGUGAAGAAGGCCUUCGGGUUGUAAAGCACUUUCAGUGGGGAAGAAAGCCUUGGGGCUAAUACCCUCGAGGAAGGACAUCACCCACAGAAGAAGCACCGGCUAACUCCGUGCCAGCAGCCGCGGUAAUACGGAGGGUGCGAGCGUUAAUCGGAAUUACUGGGCGUAAAGCGCGCGUAGGCGGUCUGAUAAGCCGGUUGUGAAAGCCCCGGGCUCAACCUGGGAACGGCAUCCGGAACUGUCAGGCUAGAGUGCAGGAGAGGAAGGUAGAAUUCCCGGUGUAGCGGUGAAAUGCGUAGAGAUCGGGAGGAAUACCAGUGGCGAAGGCGGCCUUCUGGACUGACACUGACGCUGAGGUGCGAAAGCGUGGGUAGCAAACAGGAUUAGAUACCGCUGUAGUC